Molecule: transfer RNA, 92 nt
Filed under: Haloferacaceae archaeon
Lineage: Archaea; Methanobacteriati; Methanobacteriota; Halobacteria; Halobacteriales; Haloferacaceae
Also listed under: 1 other name
Description: tRNA-OTHER
Rfam family: tRNA
About the family: Transfer RNA (tRNA) molecules are approximately 80 nucleotides in length. Their secondary structure includes four short double-helical elements and three loops (D, anti-codon, and T loops). Further hydrogen bonds mediate the characteristic L-shaped molecular structure. tRNAs have two regions of fundamental functional importance: the anti-codon, which is responsible for specific mRNA codon recognition, and the 3' end, to which the tRNAs corresponding amino acid is attached (by aminoacyl-tRNA synthetases). tRNAs cope with the degeneracy of the genetic code in two manners: having more than one tRNA (with a specific anti-codon) for a particular amino acid; and 'wobble' base-pairing, i.e. permitting non-standard base-pairing at the 3rd anti-codon position.
Source: RNAcentral
GGAAGGGUGGCUCAGUGGUAGAGCAGGUACCGGACGCAGGAGCGCCCUGCGCUCGCUAACGGCUUCGCGUGGUUCGAUUCCCGCCCCUUCCA